RNAcentral lists this ribosomal RNA (497 nucleotides) under uncultured bacterium. RNAcentral describes it as "partial 16S ribosomal RNA". It matches the Rfam family "Bacterial small subunit ribosomal RNA", at positions 28 to 507 of the family's 1533-position model. The record is from RNAcentral.
GAUGAACGCUGGCGGCGUGCCUAAUACAUGCAAGUCGAGCGAACAGACGAGGAGCUUGCUCCUCUGACGUUAGCGGCGGACGGGUGAGUAACACGUGGAUAACCUUCCUCUUAUACUUGGAUAACUUCGGGAAACCGGAGCUAAUACCAGCUAAUAUGUUCUACCGCAUGGUUCAACAGUGAUUGACGGCUUUCCCGUCUCUUUUAGAUGGUUCCGCGUCGGAUUAGCUAGUUGGUAAGGUAACGGCUUACCAAGGCAACGAUGCGUAGCCGACCUGAGAGGGUGAUCGGCCACACUGGAACUGAGACACGGUCCAGACUCCUACGGGAGGCAGCAGUAGGGAAUCUUCCGCAAUGGGCGAAAGCCUGACGGAGCAACGCCGCGUGAGUGAAGAAGGUCUUCGGAUCGUAAAACUCUGUUAUUAGGGAAGAACAAAUGUGUAAGUAACUAUGCACGUCUUGACGGUACCUAAUCAGAAAGCCACGGCUAACUACGUG